CAGGCUCAUAGGUAGAAGGGACUUGCCUUG
This 30-nucleotide non-coding RNA is filed under the name Homo sapiens (human). The record is from RNAcentral. Lineage: Eukaryota; Metazoa; Chordata; Mammalia; Primates; Hominidae.